Neofelis nebulosa (Clouded leopard) is the source of this 532-nucleotide long non-coding RNA. RefSeq lists it as uncharacterized. Lineage: Eukaryota; Metazoa; Chordata; Mammalia; Carnivora; Felidae. The record is from RefSeq and is a predicted model, not a curated record. The transcript is spliced from 2 exons.
UUAAGAAAGUGCCCCCCUGGGGAAGGGGGACGGGACAGGGGAAGCGGCCGGGGGUGCCUGUGAUUUCCAGUGGGGCCUGGCUCCUGCCGAUUCCCCCUGGAGGUCUCGGAGCUCUAACCUCCUAGGCACCUGCUUGCCCUGAGUUGGGGGGCUGCCUGCUCACAGUGUUGCCAGAUUAAGUCAGGACAGGGCCAGGCGCCCAGACAUUUUCAGCUGCCUGCCCGUGCCGGGAUCGCUGUUCAGGAGCCCAAGGAGGAGGGAGAGGAUUCAAGGGCAUCUGGGCAAUUUGCUUUCUAUUUCGGUGAAGUUUGCCAGAACUUGACAAGCUGAUCCUAAAAUUCAUACAGAAAUUCAAGAAAUUCAAGAAUAUCCAAAACAAUCUGAGAAAAGAACACCUCCUAAUUUCAAAACCUACUACAAAGCAAAAAUAAUGAAGAUAGUGUGGUAAUGGCAUCAUCACAGACUUCUAGAUCAAUGACAUAGAACUGAGCCCAGAAAUAAACCUUAGCAUUCUUGGUCAAUAGACUCUUUA